This 72-nucleotide transfer RNA is filed under the name Oxalobacter formigenes. It matches the Rfam family "tRNA". Rfam says of the family: Transfer RNA (tRNA) molecules are approximately 80 nucleotides in length. RNAcentral also lists the same sequence under 2 other names. The record is from RNAcentral. Lineage: Bacteria; Pseudomonadati; Pseudomonadota; Betaproteobacteria; Burkholderiales; Oxalobacteraceae.
GAGUGGUAGUUCAGUUGGUUAGAAUAUCGGCCUGUCACGCCGGGGGUCGCGGGUUCGAGUCCCGUCCACUCC